Molecule: ribosomal RNA, 704 nt
Filed under: uncultured Flavobacteriales bacterium
Lineage: Bacteria; Pseudomonadati; Bacteroidota; Flavobacteriia; Flavobacteriales
Description: bacterial SSU rRNA
Rfam family: Bacterial small subunit ribosomal RNA
Source: RNAcentral
UAACACAUGCAAGUCGAGGGGUAGAGGAAGCUUGCUUCCUUGAAGACCGGCGCACGGGUGCGUAACGCGUAUGCAAUCUACCUUGUACAGAGGGAUAGCCCAGAGAAAUUUGGAUUAAUACCUCAUAGUAUUAUUGAAUGGCAUCAUUUAAUAAUUAAAGUUCCAACGGUACAAGAUGAGCAUGCGUCCUAUUAGCUAGUUGGUGUGGUAACGGCAUACCAAGGCUACGAUAGGUAGGGGUCCUGAGAGGGAGAUCCCCCACACUGGUACUGAGACACGGACCAGACUCCUACGGGAGGCAGCAGUGAGGAAUAUUGGACAAUGGGCGCAAGCCUGAUCCAGCCAUGCCGCGUGCAGGAAGACGCAUCUAUGGUGUGUAAACUGCUUUUGUACGGGAAGAAACACUCCCUCGUGAGGGAGCUUGACGGUACCGUAAGAAUAAGGAUCGGCUAACUCCGUGCCAGCAGCCGCGGUAAUACGGAGGACCCAAGCGUUAUCCGGAAUCAUUGGGUUUAAAGGGUCCGUAGGCGGUUUAAUAAGUCAGUGGUGAAGCCCAUCGCUCAACGAUGGAACGGCCAUUGAUACUGUUAGACUUGAAUUACAAGGAAGUAACUAGAAUAUGUAGUGUAGCGGUGAAAUGCUUAGAUAUUACAUGGAUACCAAUUGCGAAGGCAGGUUACUACUUGUGGAUUGACGCUGAUGGA